Molecule: ribosomal RNA, 460 nt
Filed under: uncultured bacterium
Lineage: Bacteria
Description: partial 16S ribosomal RNA
Rfam family: Bacterial small subunit ribosomal RNA
Source: RNAcentral
CCUACGGGCGGCAGCAGUGAGGAAUAUUGGUCAAUGGGCGCGAGCCUGAACCAGCCAAGUAGCGUGAAGGAUGACUGCCCUACGGGUUGUAAACUUCUUUUAUCAAGGAAUAAAGUGAGGCACGUGUGCCUUUUUGUAUGUACUUUAUGAAUAAGGAUCGGCUAACUCCGUGCCAGCAGCCGCGGUAAUACGGAGGAUCCGAGCGUUAUCCGGAUUUAUUGGGUUUAAAGGGUGCGUAGAUGGGUUGUUAAGUCAGUGGGGAAAGUUUGCGGCUCAACCUUAAAAUUGCAAUUGAAACUGGCAGUCUUGAGUACGGUUGAGGUAGGCGGAAUUCGUGGUGUAGCGGUGAAAUGCUUAGAUAUCACGAAGAACUCCGAUUGCGAAGGCAGCUUACUAAACUGCCACUGACAUUGAGGCUCGAAAGUGUGGGUAUUAAACAGGAUUAGAUACCCUUGUAGUC